Molecule: transfer RNA, 66 nt
Filed under: Nasimyia megacephala
Lineage: Eukaryota; Metazoa; Arthropoda; Insecta; Diptera; Stratiomyidae
Description: tRNA-Tyr
Rfam family: tRNA
About the family: Transfer RNA (tRNA) molecules are approximately 80 nucleotides in length. Their secondary structure includes four short double-helical elements and three loops (D, anti-codon, and T loops).
Source: RNAcentral
GAUUAGAUGGCUGAAUUAUAGGCGGUAGAUUGUAAAUCUAUUUAUAAGAUAUUAUCUUUCUAAUCA